This 449-nucleotide ribosomal RNA is filed under the name uncultured bacterium. Its description in RNAcentral is "bacterial SSU rRNA". It matches the Rfam family "Bacterial small subunit ribosomal RNA", at positions 72 to 518 of the family's 1533-position model. The record is from RNAcentral.
ACAAGGAGCAAUCUGAGGUGGCGACCGGCGCACGGGUGAGUAACACGUAUGCAACCUGCCUGUAAGAGGGGAAUAACCCGUUGAAAGACGGACUAAUACCGCAUAAUACUAAAUUACUGCAUGGUAAUUUAUUUAAACAUUUAUGGCUUACAGAUGGGCAUGCGCAUGAUUAGCUAGUUGGAGAGGUAACGGCUCCCCAAGGCAACGAUCAUUAGGGGUUCUGAGAGGAAGGUCCCCCACACUGGUACUGAGACACGGACCAGACUCCUACGGGAGGCAGCAGUGAGGAAUAUUGGUCAAUGGACGAGAGUCUGAACCAGCCAAGUCGCGUGCAGGAAGAAUGUCCUAUGGAUUGUAAACUGCUUUUGCAGGGGAAUAAAGUGCAUCACGUGUGAUGUUUUGUAUGUACUCUGCGAAUAAGGAUCGGCUAACUCCGUGCCAGCAGCAGC